AUGUCUCGUGCACGCUCGCACGCACACACUCUCUGUCUCUCCCUCUUUCUCCUCUUUUUUUUUCUCUCUCUCUGUCUUUCUUUACCUCCCUCCCUUCCUUCCUUCUUUCCUCUCUCUCUUCUCUCUCUCUUUCUCUUUCUCUCUCUUUCUUUCUCUCUUUCUUUCUUUCUUUCUUUCUUUCUUUCUUUCUUUCUUUCUUUCUUUCUCUCUCUCUCUUCUUUCUUUCUUUCUUUCUUUCUUUCCUUCUUUCUUUCUUUCUUUCUUUCUUUCUUUCUUUCUUUCUUUCUUUCUUUCUUUCUUUCUUUCUUUCUUUCUUUCUUUCUUUCUUUCUUUCUUUCUUUCUUUCUUUCUUUCUUUCUUUCUUUCUUUCUUUCUUUCUUUCUUUCUUUCUUUCUUUCUUUCUUUCUUUCUUUCUUUCUUUCUUUCUCUCUCUCUUUCCCUCCCUCCCUUCCUUUCCUCCCUUCUUUCCUUCCUUCCUCUUCCUCUCUGUCUAUCUCUGUCUAAACACAGUGGCUCCCUAUUGCCUACAGGAACAAGGACAAACACUGUUUGCUCUUCACAGCCCUUCCAAUCUGGUCCCUCCUCCCUUUCUAGCCUCCUUACACCUCACCUACCAGACCCUCCAUCUCUCCUCUCUGGGCCCUUUCUCCCCGUGUCUGGAAUGAUCCCCCACCUUCACUCCACCUCUCUGGCUUCCUUUAAGUUCCAACGAGAAUCCCAUCUUUUCCAGGAAGCCUUCUCCAGCCCCUCUCUACUGCAGCCCCCCCCCCCCCCCAAAUUCUUCCUGGUUAUCCCAUAAAUUGCUUGGUUGUGCACAUGUGUUGCCUGGCCUCUCCCCCCUUAAAAGGGAAAUUCCUCAAGGGCAGGGAUUGGCUUUUACCUUUUGGUGUCCCCUUGCUUGGCACGGGGCCUGGUCCCCAAGUAAACUCUUAAGAAAUGUUCUGUAAAUGAAUGAAUGGGCCCCCUACAUUUCCCCCCCCCCCAAUUCAUUUUGUGGCUCCCGGAACCUGGAACCCGCCCCCCGCAAAAGGCCCCGCCUGGGCUCCCUCUCACGGCCACCCUUGACUGCCUUCGACUUUGGCUGGCGUCUCCUGCUUGCCUGCAUCCCGGCGUGAUAGAGAUCUCGCGGCUCCAGGCCCGGAGCUGUGGUUCUCCCUUCCUUUCCUUCCCCUCAGUCUAACUGUAACUUUUGAUGGAUGGGCCCAGCGCCUCACCACACCCAGGAAAUGGCUACAGUUUUCUAGAACACUGUCGAAUUCUUGUUAAUGGGACACCAUCAAAAGUCUUGUUAGGUAAAUAUAAAUAAUGACAUGGCGCUCCACCAUCUGUUAAAGAGCUCCGAAGCAUACAGUGAAUAGAAUCAGUGCGUGGAGGGCUGGUGAUUGGCGUGGCUGCAUCAUUUCUCCAUCACAGCUUCUUGGGCUUAGAGAAGUGUUGCUUUGACUCUUCCCCCCUCCCCCACUCUCUUUCCCUGAUGCCCUUCCCCUACGGGGCAAUGGGGGAGGGAGCCAGACUUGUGGGAAUCGGGGCUUUCACUGGCCUCGUGUAGGGGGGAGGGGCUGUGUACAAAGAAGAUCUGAUGUUGACCCUGGCAAAGAUACUAGAAUGGUUUGCCGGGUCCUUCUCCAGCUCAUUUGACAGAUGGAGAAACUGAGGCAAAUAGGGGUAAGUGACUCGUUCAGGAUCAUACAGCUGCUAUAUGUGUCUGGAGUGGUUUGCCAUUUCCUUCAUGAGUUCAUUUGACAGAAGAGGAAACUGAGGCAAACAGGAGUAAGUGACUUUUUCAGGGCCUUUUCAUAGCUAGUAAGAGUCUGAGGUCUUCCCAACCCCAAGCCUGGUGCUCUGUCCACUGCAUCACCUAUCUGCACACACACACAGAUAGAGAUAGGCUAAAUUGGAGGAACUUGGGAACCUUUUCUUUAUCUCUUGGAGGGGCUGACCAGCAAGCAUUCCGUGGGUCAGUCCUGGGCGUGUAGUAAGCGCCUGCUGUAUGUCAGCCACUGUGCUAGCUUCUGGGGAUUCAGAGACAACAAUAAACUAGCUUUCUAAUGGGGGGAGAGCGCA
This is a long non-coding RNA of Monodelphis domestica (gray short-tailed opossum), 2064 nucleotides long. Lineage: Eukaryota; Metazoa; Chordata; Mammalia; Didelphimorphia; Didelphidae. The record is from Ensembl.